GUCGCUUAUGCGCUACAUAUUCUAAAAAUGGAACGAUACAGAGAAGAUUAGCAUGGCCCCUGCACAAGGAUGACACGUAUAUCUUGAGUGGAUAGCCCUUCGGGGCAAAUUAUUUUU
This is a non-coding RNA of Lobosporangium transversale, 117 nucleotides long. The record is from Rfam. NCBI's taxonomy places the organism in Eukaryota, Fungi, Mortierellomycota, Mortierellomycetes, Mortierellales, Mortierellaceae.